GAGCAGUCUGGAUUCUGGGAGACUUCGGCUGGAGAGAGACCCAAAGAUGGGCUGUUUCUGUUGGACAGGAUGGACAUCAUUGUGGCAUGUCAAGGACACAGUAAACCACUGCGGUCAUGUUGCAGAGAUGUGAUGACCCAUCUGCAUUCCAAGAGUUAAGACCAUUGACACAGAGAGGGAGACUGCCCUUUAAACCUGUGAGCACAUGGAGGAGGAAAAGCAACAACCUUGAUAAGAAGCCACUUCCAAGACCACCUUGACAUGCAUUCAUGCUGUCCAGAGUUCCCUGCAGCGCUGCGAUUCUUC
Long non-coding RNA from Cheilinus undulatus (humphead wrasse), 306 nucleotides. RefSeq lists it as uncharacterized. The transcript is spliced from 3 exons. The record is from RefSeq and is a predicted model, not a curated record. Lineage: Eukaryota; Metazoa; Chordata; Actinopteri; Labriformes; Labridae.